Long non-coding RNA from Solea solea (common sole), 470 nucleotides. RefSeq lists it as uncharacterized. NCBI's taxonomy places the organism in Eukaryota, Metazoa, Chordata, Actinopteri, Pleuronectiformes, Soleidae. The transcript is spliced from 4 exons. The record is from RefSeq and is a predicted model, not a curated record.
UUUGCAUCAAUUAUGCAACAAACACCAGAUAAAUAAGAGAAUCCUGCAAAGUGGCAGCAAACAUUUGAGGCAUCACAACUCAAGAGGGAUAAUCAACCAGACUGGUGUUAAGAGACGUGACUUGACAACAUGAAGACUGUGAUCGUGGCCCUUUUGGUAGUGCUGGUCGUCAGCCACAGUGAAGCUUUAACGUGUAACUGUGGAGGCAAGGCCUCAUGUGCAUUCUCUCAGCAUAACUGCUAUGGUUUAAGCCAAGUUUGUGCCAGGAUGACGUUUAACCCCCCUGGUACCGGCUCCUUCAAGAGUUGCUAUAAUGCGAGAGCUUGUGCAAACCUGAUUAGUUCUGGGAAAGCGUCUGGUAGAUGCUGCCAAACUGACCUGUGCAACUGAUCAGUGAACGUCAUGCAGCACAUCUGCCAAUGAAUGAAUAAUAAGCUGCCAUUGUCCUAAUAAAGAUGAUUCAUUUGAAA